UGACUACACUGCACAUCCCGUGGGAGGGAUGCUCUUGUAUCUGCUAAAGACAUUGCGGAGGCGCCCUGCAGUGACCCACGAACGCAGUGGCUUUUUAAAACCCAAGGGCGUGAGGGUGGAGGGUGAUGCGAGGACUUCAGGAGAGGCCCUAAGGUAACUUCUGAGGGCAUGGGACUUGGCGGUAAAAACAGAGAAGGUGCUGUGGACCCCAUUUUCGGAAGAAAACUGUUUUCCUCACAGAAUCCCAGGAAUUGAAAGCUGAUGGAUACCUCUCAAAAUCUGUUUUUGUCUUCUGGCUAUGCCUGUUUAUUAGGCUGUAGAAAUUGCAUGCUCUCCUAGCGGUGCUUUUGAAAGCCUCCAUCCUGAGGCCAAUAAUCCAAUUAUGAGAUUGGCAAAUGAAAAAUCUUACAAUUACUGUAUCUUCUUCUAUCUGUCUGUAUAGUUAUAUAUGUGUUAUAUGUGUGAUAUUUAUAAAAAAGAGCUCUAAUUGAUUAGCCUAAAGAAAAACAAGUGCUUAGACCAAAUAUUUUGAAGGAAAAAUAAAAGCUGUAAUGCCUUUUAGUUCACGUGACUUUAAUCUUUGAGAAAUAAAA
Long non-coding RNA from Homo sapiens (human), 593 nucleotides. The record is from Ensembl. Lineage: Eukaryota; Metazoa; Chordata; Mammalia; Primates; Hominidae.